ACAUUUAUACAUCACCAGUAGAUUAUAAUAUAAUAUUUAAAAAAUUAUUUUCGCACUUAUGGGUAUAAUAUGGCUCGUAUUUUGUUAGUUCAAUUUAGCACAUGCAUAUAUAUUAUUAUCGAAACUAUACAAAUACGGACGGCGGUGUGCACCAGUGUAUAAUAAUAUGGCUAUAUUAUUCGCUACGUAGUCUGCUUCUUGUGUGGGAUUCGACGAGCAGACACACAUUUGUUCGUCGACAAACUGUCAAACGGUUGAUACCACACCUUUGACCACGCAUAAUAUGCCAUAUGGCAUAUCGGACUAUACCGUUACCACCACGACAUCGUUAUGAACAUGUACUCAACUAAUUUGAACGCGUUAACUGCAUAUUGAUAUACGAUGGUUUGCGUUAUUGCGUUACGAAAGUCGAUAAGUAAUUAAUAAUACCAUUUAUCUGUAUUAAAACGAUAUUAUAAUAAUUGCUGUGCAUCAUGACAUCAAUUGCCGAUGGUAAAUUGGAUCAGUAAUAUCGAAUUAAAUUGGCAAUCGUUUUAUUGGACGUACGAACGUCGAAGUAAUAACGUUAGUUGGGGACGCUGGACGGAGGGUCGAUAUUUUAUGCACGCUUUUGAUUGUCUCUGCUUGAUCGAUCGUGAUGGAAAAAAAUAAAUCAAAAGAAGACGCGAAGUCCGCGUGUCUCAAAAGUACUCGGCCGGUACAUUUGGAUAAAGAUAUCAAAAGUUUCGAAAUAGCAAGUUCCAAAUAUUUGAUAACCAAACCAGUAAAUUUGGACGAAGCUAUCGAAAUUGUCGGUAAGUUAUAAUUUGUUUUAAAUUUAAAUAGGUACCUUUAUUUUAUAUAAUUAUUGCACUAAUUUUUAUUGAUUUGUAUAACCAACCUGAUUAGUUAUAACACACGAUUGUAUAUUAUUAGCUGCAUUAAUAUUACGAUCUUUACUUAAAUAAAUGUAUGCAUGGAGUGGCGGAUAAGUGUAUUUAUUUUUAACAUGGAACAUUUUUAAGUGUCCUAAAGUUUCAGAACCUCCCAAUUUUCUAGUGAGCCUAUAACUACGCAUAUUAAAUUAAUCGUUUACGGUAAAGCUCAAAAAUCAACUGACUUUAGCGCCUCCGCUACCAACACCAAAUGAUUUUAAAUAAUUAAAUCUAUAUAUAUAUAAAUGAAUGUAUGUGUCCAUAU
RNAcentral lists this long non-coding RNA (1179 nucleotides) under Acyrthosiphon pisum (pea aphid). Its description in RNAcentral is "uncharacterized LOC100569224, transcript variant X1". Lineage: Eukaryota; Metazoa; Arthropoda; Insecta; Hemiptera; Aphididae. The record is from RNAcentral.